This 497-nucleotide ribosomal RNA is filed under the name uncultured bacterium. Its description in RNAcentral is "partial 16S ribosomal RNA". It matches the Rfam family "Bacterial small subunit ribosomal RNA", at positions 28 to 507 of the family's 1533-position model. The record is from RNAcentral.
GAUGAACGCUGGCGGCGUGCCUAAUACAUGCAAGUCGAGCGAACAGACGAGAAGCUUGCUCCUCUGAUGUUAGCGGCGGACGGGUGAGUAACACGUGGAUAACCUACCUAUAAGACUGGGAUAACUUCGGGAAACCGGAGCUAAUACCGGAUAAUAUUUUGAACCGCAUGGUUCAAUAGUGAAAGACGGUUUUGCUGUCACUUAUAGAUGGAUCCGCGCUGCAUUAGCUAGUUGGUAAGGUAACGGCUUACCAAGGCAACGAUGCAUAGCCGACCUGAGAGGGUGAUCGGCCACACUGGAACUGAGACACGGUCCAGACUCCUACGGGAGGCAGCAGUAGGGAAUCUUCCGCAAUGGGCGAAAGCCUGACGGAGCAACGCCGCGUGAGUGAUGAAGGUCUUCGGAUCGUAAAACUCUGUUAUUAGGGAAGAACAUAUGUGUAAGUAACUGUGCACAUCUUGACGGUACCUAAUCAGAAAGCCACGGCUAACUACGUG